AUGGCGGCGGCGUGCGCGGCGGCGCGGAUGUUCGCCUACAACGCGACCCUCUGCGCGUGCGACCCGGGGUACUACCUCUCGGCCAACGGCACCGGCACCGCCUGCGUCUCCCUCCCCGCCUCGGGCGACGGCAACACCUUCGCCGACUGGCAGGUCGGGGCCGUCGGCGCCGGCUCACGCAACCAGACGCUCUACUUCCUCGCCCCGGUCCUCUCCCUCGACGCCGUCCGCCGCCUCACCCAGUCCCAGGCCGUGCUCCUCUUCACCGCGCUCGUCACCCUCCUCUCCUGGCUCGCCUUCUGCGCCGCCGCCAGGCUCGCCGGCCGCGACCCCUCCGGCAACAAGAAGCUCUUCCGCGCCCGCUUCUGGAUCAGCCGCCUCGACUGCAUCUUCGACACCCAGCACUGGGCGGCUGACCAGCAGGUGCUCAAGAAAAGGAAGACAGAGCUGGGUGGAAUGUGCUCUGUUGCUGCCCUCAUACUCUUCAUUGGAUUGGUCACUGUGCUGCUGUACCAAGCCAUCAAUAGGCGCAACAUCGAGGUGCACCGGGUCAAGCCGGCCAAUGCUCCUGAUCUCUUGGCCUUCGUCAACGACAUCGAGUUCCACAUCACCACCAUCUCGAGCAUGUCCUGUUCUCAGGUGACCCCGCCUUCGACGAUCGCGAUGGGGACGCCCGGGUUCAUGGACUUCAGGGUGUUGCCCCUCUCAACGCUCUUGACCUACAGUUGCCAGAACACGAGCCAGGGGCCGUCUAUCACGCUCAAGUGCAGCGGCUGCAGAAUGCCUCCAAGGGACCACUACGUGUCCUGGCAGUUUGUCGACCUGCCGGCGCGGCCGGCGAUAGCUGUUGGCUUCCAGUUCAACCUGACUACCAAGCAAACCGGGGACAAUGAGCACGUGAGCUUUGUCAGUGGGACCAUAAACUCUGACAACUAUGGCGAUGAGAAGCUUAAGACAUUCAGAGGGACAGACUCCAACGUGCUCAAGAUUCAGCUGUUUCCCCAGAUAUACAACAAACUUAACAACCUGAAGCUCUUGCAGCCACUGCUUCAGGACUUCACUCCAGGGUCCACCUUUUCGGAUGUCCGGAGCUUGAAUGCUUCCCUGCAGAACCCUACAGAUGGAGUAUUAAACACUACGCUCUACAUAAGUUAUCUUUCAGACUACAUCGUGGAGAUUAGUAACGAAAGUGUGCUAGGCCCAGUCAGUAUAAUUGCGAGUAUUGGUGGCCUUUAUGCCUUCAGUAUAGCGAUAUUUCUCUGCCUCAUGGCUCAAUGUGAAGCUAGGAUAAAGAAGCUCCGUAAUGAGGAUACAAGAAUGCUGAAAAUUCUGAGCAAACGGCGAGCUCAACAGAAUUGGGAUAAGGUGAGGAAGUUUGUGAUGUAUACCUGGGGCCCUAGCAACUUGGAUCCAACUGACAGAAGUGGCAAGUGGCCUGAAGCUUCAAUGAUGGAUUCUCUCCAUGAAUCCUUCCACAAGAAAAGAAAACCGACUAGACGAGCUACCUCGAUUGCUACCAGAACGAUGAGAGAUCAUCCUGACGUGGGUUCAAUUGACAUCGAAAGAGCUGGGUAG
RNAcentral lists this ribosomal RNA (1575 nucleotides) under Triticum aestivum (bread wheat). RNAcentral's name for it is "partial small subunit ribosomal RNA". Lineage: Eukaryota; Viridiplantae; Streptophyta; Magnoliopsida; Poales; Poaceae. The record is from RNAcentral.